Molecule: transfer RNA, 118 nt
Filed under: Candidatus Kerfeldbacteria bacterium
Lineage: Bacteria; Candidatus Kerfeldiibacteriota
Description: tRNA-Val
Rfam family: tRNA
About the family: Transfer RNA (tRNA) molecules are approximately 80 nucleotides in length.
Source: RNAcentral
GGCGAUGUAGCCUAACGGUAAGGCACCUGCUUGACAGGCAGGGUAACGGGGUUCUCCGCAACCAAUAACAAUGUCAAAGCGGAUCCGCCUCUGGCGGAAAAUCCCUGCGUCGCCACCA